RNAcentral lists this ribosomal RNA (393 nucleotides) under uncultured bacterium. RNAcentral's name for it is "partial 16S ribosomal RNA". It matches the Rfam family "Bacterial small subunit ribosomal RNA", at positions 523 to 918 of the family's 1533-position model. The record is from RNAcentral.
AUACGGAGGAUGCGAGCGUUAUCCGGAUUUAUUGGGUUUAAAGGGUGCGUAGGCUGUGCGUUAAGUCAGGGGUGAAAUGCCGUCGCUCAACGACGGAGCUGCCCUUGAUACUGGCGUGCUGGAGUACGGAUGCCGUUGGAGGAAUGAGUGGUGUAGCGGUGAAAGGCUUAGAUAUCACUCAGAACACCGAUUGCGAAGGCAUCUGAAGAAUCCGGCACGGACGCUGAGGCACGAAAGCGUUGGGAUAGAACAGGAUUAGAUACCCUGGUAUUCCACGCCGUAAACGAUGAUGACUAACCGUCGGCGAUAGACAGCCGGUGGCCAAGCGAAAGCGAUAAGUCAUCCACCUGGGGAGUACGUCGGCAACGAUGAAACUCAAAUGAAUUGGCGGGU